AGAUGAAUCAACAUUAAUAAUGAACAUCAUCAGGUUGACUCUGUCUGUCCUGAUGCUGAUUCCUCUGCUUCUCUUGACUCUGUGGAGCAGGAAGAAGAAAACUCUGAGCUCCACCUGUGAACCGAAUGAACGUGUGGAGGUGAUAGAGCUUGACUCUGGUUCUGGGUAUGAGGACGUCUCAGCCGUCCCUGCAGCACAGAGGGAAGACGCAGAGGAGCAGGAAGACCUGGUGUGAAGUCCAGAGAGAUGCAGGGCUCGGUGUGGAGAGCGAGGAUGGGGUCAAGUUUUCAGCAGCACAGGAACCAGACGCACAACUGUUAACAAAGACCUGUUGAUAGUC
Molecule: long non-coding RNA, 340 nt
Organism: Notolabrus celidotus (New Zealand spotty)
Lineage: Eukaryota; Metazoa; Chordata; Actinopteri; Labriformes; Labridae
Exons: 4
Source: RefSeq, a predicted model, not a curated record